This 212-nucleotide long non-coding RNA is filed under the name Mytilus galloprovincialis (Mediterranean mussel). Lineage: Eukaryota; Metazoa; Mollusca; Bivalvia; Mytilida; Mytilidae. The record is from RNAcentral.
UGAUAUGCGCAUGCAUUUUUACGACACUUGGUACAAUGCGAUGCUUCCUCUCUUGUAGCUUAAACAGACAAUCUUCUUUUGUUUGUCGUAUUUCACUGCAUACGUAGCUUUAAGUCCAUCACCAUCAGUAAGUAAGACCUUGCUAUCUUUCCCGUCAUGUUGUAUAACUGUCAAGUUUUUAGACCAUCCACCAACAACAAAUAUGUUCUGAU